AUUGAACGCUGGCGGCAUGCUUUACACAUGCAAGUCGAACGGCAGCACGGGGGCAACCCUGGUGGCGAGUGGCGAACGGGUGAGUAAUGCAUCGGAACGUAUCCUUAAGUGGGGGAUAACGCAUCGAAAGAUGCGCUAAUACCGCAUAAUCUCUGAGGAGAAAAGCAGGGGAUCGCAAGACCUUGCGCUUUUGGAGCGGCCGAUGUCUGAUUAGCUAGUUGGUGAGGUAAAGGCUUACCAAGGCUUCGAUCAGUGGCUGGUCUGAGAGGACGACCAGCCACACUGGGACUGAGACACGGCCCAGACUCCUACGGGAGGCAGCAGUGGGGAAUUUUGGACAAUGGGGCAACCCUGAUCCAGCCAUGCCGCGUG
RNAcentral lists this ribosomal RNA (372 nucleotides) under uncultured bacterium. Its description in RNAcentral is "bacterial SSU rRNA". It matches the Rfam family "Bacterial small subunit ribosomal RNA", at positions 30 to 403 of the family's 1533-position model. The record is from RNAcentral.